RNAcentral lists this microRNA (21 nucleotides) under Ananas comosus (pineapple). Its description in RNAcentral is "microRNA s0381_c40a". The record is from RNAcentral. Lineage: Eukaryota; Viridiplantae; Streptophyta; Magnoliopsida; Poales; Bromeliaceae.
AAGUGAUUCUAAAAUUUAAUG